AUAUCAAUAAGCGGAGGAAAAGAAACCAACAGGGAUUGCCUCAGUAACGGCGAGUGAAGCGGCAACAGCUCAAAUUUGAAAUCUGGCUCUUUCAGGGUCCGAGUUGUAAUUUGUAGAGGAUGCUUCGGCGUGGGCUCCGGUCUAAGUUCCUUGGAACAGGACGUCACAGAGGGUGAGAAUCCCGUAUGUGAUCGGUUGCCUUUGCCUUGUGAAGCUCCUUCGACGAGUCGAGUUGUUUGGGAAUGCAGCUCUAAAUGGGAGGUAAAUUUCUUCUAAAGCUAAAUACUGGCCAGAGACCGAUAGCGCACAAGUAGAGUGAUCGAAAGAUGAAAAGCACUUUGGAAAGAGAGUCAAAAAGUACGUGAAAUUGUUGAAAGGGAAGCGCUUGCAACCAGACCUGCCUGCAGUUGCUCAUCCGGGCUUUCGCCCGGUGCACUCUUCUGCUGUCAGGCCAGCAUCGGUUCGGGCGGUCGGAUAAAGGCUUCGGGAAUGUAGCUCCUCUCGAGGAGUGUUAUAGCCCGUUGCGAAAUGCGGCCAGCCUGAACUGAGGUCCGCGCUUCGGCUAGGAUGCUGGCGUAAUGGUUGUAAGCGG
Molecule: ribosomal RNA, 592 nt
Filed under: uncultured fungus
Lineage: Eukaryota; Fungi
Description: eukaryotic LSU rRNA
Rfam family: Eukaryotic large subunit ribosomal RNA
Source: RNAcentral